AGCCACCUUCGGGUGGUGGACAGUGGCAGACGGGUGAGUAACGCGUGGGAACGUGCCUUUCGGUUCGGAAUAACCCAGGGAAACUUGGGCUAAUACCGGAUACGCCCUUCGGGGGAAAGAUUCAUUGCCGAAAGAUCGGCCCGCGUCGGAUUAGCUAGUUGGUGGGGUAAUGGCUCACCAAGGCGACGAUCCGUAGCUGGUCUGAGAGGAUGACCAGCCACACUGGGACUGAGACACGGCCCAGACUCCUACGGGAGGCAGCAGUGGGGAAUUGUUCGCAAUGGGCGCAAGCCUGACGACGCAACGCCGCGUGGAGGAUGAAGGUCUUCGGA
This 332-nucleotide ribosomal RNA is filed under the name uncultured bacterium. RNAcentral describes it as "bacterial SSU rRNA". It matches the Rfam family "Bacterial small subunit ribosomal RNA", at positions 72 to 422 of the family's 1533-position model. The record is from RNAcentral.